RNAcentral lists this ribosomal RNA (1155 nucleotides) under 'Catharanthus roseus' phytoplasma. Its description in RNAcentral is "bacterial SSU rRNA". It matches the Rfam family "Bacterial small subunit ribosomal RNA", at positions 199 to 1362 of the family's 1533-position model. The record is from RNAcentral. Lineage: Bacteria; Bacillati; Mycoplasmatota; Mollicutes; Acholeplasmatales; Acholeplasmataceae.
AGACCUAGCAAUAGGUAUGCUUAGGGAGGAGCUUGCGUCACAUUAGUUAGUUGGUGGGGUAAAGGCCUACCAAGACUAUGAUGUGUAGCCGGGCUGAGAGGUUGAACGGCCACAUUGGGACUGAGACACGGCCCAAACUCCUACGGGAGGCAGCAGUAGGGAAUUUUCGGCAAUGGAGGAAACUCUGACCGAGCAACGCCGCGUGAACGAUGAAGUAUUUCGGUACGUAAAGUUCUUUUAUUAGGGAAGAAUAAAUGAUGGAAAAAUCAUUCUGACGGUACCUAAUGAAUAAGCCCCGGCUAACUAUGUGCCAGCAGCCGCGGUAAUACAUAGGGGGCAAGCGUUAUCCGGAAUUAUUGGGCGUAAAGGGUGCGUAGGCGGUUAAAUAAGUGUAUGGUCGAAGUGCAAUGCUCAACAUUGUGAUGCUAUAAAAACUGUUUAGCUAGAGUAAGAUAGAGGCAAGUGGAAUUCCAUGUGUAGUGGUAAAAUGCGUAAAUAUAUGGAGGAACACCAGUAGCGAAGGCGGCUUGCUGGGUCUUUACUGACGCUGAGGCACGAAAGCGUGGGGAGCAAACAGGAUUAGAUACCCUGGUAGUCCACGCCGUAAACGAUGAGUACUAAACGUUGGGUAAAACCAGUGUUGAAGUUAACACAUUAAGUACUCCGCCUGAGUAGUACGUACGCAAGUAUGAAACUUAAAGGAAUUGACGGGACUCCGCACAAGCGGUGGAUCAUGUUGUUUAAUUUGAAGGUACCCGAAAAACCUCACCAGGUCUUGACAUGCUUCUGCAAAGCUGUAGAAACACAGUGGAGGUUAUCAGUUGCACAGGUGGUGCAUGGUUGUCGUCAGCUCGUGUCGUGAGAUGUUGGGUUAAGUCCCGCAACGAGCGCAACCCUUAUUGUUAGUUACCAGCACGUAAUGGUGGGGACUUUAGCAAGACUGCCAGUGAUAAAUUGGAGGAAGGUGGGGACGACGUCAAAUCAUCAUGCCCCUUAUGACCUGGGCUACAAACGUGAUACAAUGGCUGUUACAAAGGGUAGCUGAAGCGCAAGUUUUUGGCGAAUCUCAAAAAAACAGUCUCAGUUCGGAUUGAAGUCUGCAACUCGACUUCAUGAAGUUGGAAUCGCUAGUAAUCGCGAAUCAGCAUGUCGCGG